This 1169-nucleotide ribosomal RNA is filed under the name uncultured bacterium. Its description in RNAcentral is "bacterial SSU rRNA". It matches the Rfam family "Bacterial small subunit ribosomal RNA", at positions 1 to 1183 of the family's 1533-position model. The record is from RNAcentral.
UUCGCCCUUAGGGUUUGAUUCUGGCUCAGGACGAACGCUGGCUGCGUGCUUAACACAUGCAAGUCGAACGCUGAAGCUGGGUGCUUGCACCUGGUGGAUGAGUGGCGAACGGGUGAGUAACACGUGAGUAACCUGCCCCUGAUUUCGGGAUAAGCCUGGGAAACUGGGUCUAAUACCGGAUACGACCUUCCUUCGCAUGAGGGUUGGUGGAAAGUUUUUCGAUCGGGGAUGGGCUCGCGGCCUAUCAGCUUGUUGGUGGGGUAAUGGCCUACCAAGGCGACGACGGGUAGCCGGCCUGAGAGGGCGACCGGCCACACUGGGACUGAGACACGGCCCAGACUCCUACGGGAGGCAGCAGUGGGGAAUAUUGCACAAUGGGGGAAACCCUGAUGCAGCGACGCAGCGUGCGGGAUGACGGCCUUCGGGUUGUAAACCGCUUUCAGCAGGGAAGAAGCGAAAGUGACGGUACCUGCAGAAGAAGUACCGGCUAACUACGUGCCAGCAGCCGCGGUAAUACGUAGGGUACGAGCGUUGUCCGGAAUUAUUGGGCGUAAAGAGCUCGUAGGUGGUUGGUCACGUCUGCUGUGGAAACGCAACGCUUAACGUUGCGCGUGCAGUGGGUACGGGCUGACUAGAGUGCAGUAGGGGAGUCUGGAAUUCCUGGUGUAGCGGUGAAAUGCGCAGAUAUCAGGAGGAACACCGGUGGCGAAGGCGGGACUCUGGGCUGUAACUGACACUGAGGAGCGAAAGCAUGGGGAGCGAACAGGAUUAGAUACCCUGGUAGUCCAUGCCGUANACGUUGGGCACUAGGUGUGGGGGACAUUCCACGUUCUCCGCGCCGUAGCUAACGCAUUAAGUGCCCCGCCUGGGGAGUACGGUCGCAAGGCUAANNACUCAAGGAAUUGACNGGGGCCCCGCACAGCGGCGGAGCAUNGCGAUUAAUUUCGAUGCACGCGAAGAACCUUACCNAGGCUGACAUACACUGGGACGUUUCUGGAACCAGUCUUCUCUUUGGGAGCUGUGUACAAGUGGUGCAUGGUUGUCGUCAGCUCGUGUCCUGAGAUGUUGGGUUAAGUCCCGCACGAGCGCACCCUCGUUCUAUGUUGCAGCACGUGAUGGUGGAAACUCAUAGAGACUGCCNNGGUCACUCCGAAGAAAGUGGGGAUGAC